This 83-nucleotide transfer RNA is filed under the name bacterium. RNAcentral describes it as "tRNA-Leu". It matches the Rfam family "tRNA". From Rfam's summary of the family: Transfer RNA (tRNA) molecules are approximately 80 nucleotides in length. RNAcentral also lists the same sequence under 1 other name. The record is from RNAcentral.
GCCGAGGUGGUGAAAUUGGUAGACGCAGUGGACUCAAAAUCCACCGGGCUUUGCCCAUGCCGGUUCGAGUCCGGCCCUCGGCA